ACAGACGAAGGCGACUAUCAGGUAAAACUACGCAGCCUGAUUCGCUUUCUGGAAGAUGGGGAUAAAACCAAAAUCACAAUCCGUUUUCGCGGACGUGAAAUGGCCCAUCAGCAAAUCGGUGCCGAUGUGUUAGAGCGUGUUAAAAACGAUCUGGCAGACAUCGCGGUGGUGGAGUCCGCUCCGUCUAAACUGGAAGGCCGUCAAAUGGUGAUGGUACUUGCACCCAAAAAGAAGUAAUUAGUGCCGACAAGUAAUUAAAAGUGCGGUCGGUUUGUGCCGACGGUUUUUAAUUCGCCUAAUUAUCGUUAUUAAUAAUACAAUGCGGAGUUAAUCCAAUUAUGCCAA
RNAcentral lists this unclassified non-coding RNA (345 nucleotides) under Pasteurella testudinis DSM 23072. Its description in RNAcentral is "Long range pseudoknot". The record is from RNAcentral. Lineage: Bacteria; Pseudomonadati; Pseudomonadota; Gammaproteobacteria; Pasteurellales; Pasteurellaceae.